GGGCGUAUAGCGUAGUUGGUAGCGCGUUCGCUUCGCAUGCGAAAGGUCUCCGGUUCGACUCCGGAUGCGUCCA
This is a transfer RNA of 73 nucleotides. It matches the Rfam family "tRNA". Rfam says of the family: Transfer RNA (tRNA) molecules are approximately 80 nucleotides in length. Their secondary structure includes four short double-helical elements and three loops (D, anti-codon, and T loops). The record is from Rfam.